Molecule: ribosomal RNA, 253 nt
Filed under: uncultured Staphylococcus sp.
Lineage: Bacteria; Bacillati; Bacillota; Bacilli; Caryophanales; Staphylococcaceae
Description: partial 16S ribosomal RNA
Rfam family: Bacterial small subunit ribosomal RNA
Source: RNAcentral
UACGUAGGUGGCAAGCGUUAUCCGGAAUUAGUGGGCGUAAAGCGCGCGUAGGCGGUUUUUUAAGUCUGAUGUGAAAGCCCACGGCUCAACCGUGGAGGGUCAUUGGAAACUGGAAAACUUGAGUGCAGAAGAGGAAAGUGGAAUUCCAUGUGUAGCGGUGAAAUGCGCAGAGAUAUGGAGGAACACCAGUGGCGAAGGCGACUUUCUGGUCUGUAACUGACGCUGAUGUGCGAAAGCGUGGGGAUCAAACAGG